CCCUGAUUAGCUCAAUUGGUAGAGCGCUCCACCUGUAAUGGAGAGGUCCCGGGUUUUAAUACCUGCACCAGGCG
RNAcentral lists this transfer RNA (74 nucleotides) under Ixodes scapularis (black-legged tick). It matches the Rfam family "tRNA". From Rfam's summary of the family: Transfer RNA (tRNA) molecules are approximately 80 nucleotides in length. Their secondary structure includes four short double-helical elements and three loops (D, anti-codon, and T loops). Lineage: Eukaryota; Metazoa; Arthropoda; Arachnida; Ixodida; Ixodidae. The record is from Rfam by way of RNAcentral.